Long non-coding RNA from Thalassophryne amazonica, 97 nucleotides. RefSeq lists it as uncharacterized. The record is from RefSeq and is a predicted model, not a curated record. Lineage: Eukaryota; Metazoa; Chordata; Actinopteri; Batrachoidiformes; Batrachoididae. The transcript has 3 exons.
CAUUGUGUUCUACAUAUGUACUGUUCUGCAUUAAUGCUGUCAUCACAGAAGUGUAAAUUACCUUUGCCAAGGGCAUUGACACAACCCCAGACCAUGA